Molecule: transfer RNA, 70 nt
Filed under: Camelus dromedarius (Arabian camel)
Lineage: Eukaryota; Metazoa; Chordata; Mammalia; Artiodactyla; Camelidae
Also listed under: 1 other name
Rfam family: tRNA
About the family: Transfer RNA (tRNA) molecules are approximately 80 nucleotides in length.
Source: Rfam by way of RNAcentral
GGGUACAGCUUAGCGGUAGAGCGCGUGCUUAGCAUGCACAAGGUCCUGGGUUCAAUCCCCAGUGCCUCCA